This is an RNA transcript of Tarenaya hassleriana, 1145 nucleotides long. It is a transcript of the gene named macro domain-containing protein VPA0103-like, with no coding region annotated. The record is from RefSeq and is a predicted model, not a curated record. The transcript has 8 exons. Lineage: Eukaryota; Viridiplantae; Streptophyta; Magnoliopsida; Brassicales; Cleomaceae.
AAUAAAAUAAAAUAAAACUUUCCGGUAAUUCCGAAAAAACCGACGGCCGAGUCAGACUUUUGACUUCCACGCCAACGCGAGGGUCUCUUUCUCUCUCCGAUAUCCUUUCCGCCGCACCGCCAAACCGUCUCCGCCGCUGUUUCCUCUUCCUCCGGUGGCAGCGUCAGGAUGCGAUUUCUCGACAGUGUCCUCCUUCGUCUCCGUAACUUUCUUAGUUGCGCCUCUCCCUCUGCUGUUUCCUCUCGGCCGACGGGUCCCGGCGACGCGGCUUUGUCAUCCAUUGGUUCCGGCGGAGAAGAUGCUGUUUACAGGUUGUCUGAUUCCAUCCUUCUUAAGAUCCUUAAAGGAGAUAUCACCCAGUGGUCCGUCGAUGGCUCCUCCGAUGCUAUUGUUAAUCCAGCAAAUGAGCGUAUGCUCGGUGGUGGUGGUGCAGAUGGAGCCAUACACGAUGCUGCUGGGCCGCAGCUGAGAGCGGCGUGCUAUGAGGUCCCAGAAGUUAGUCCCGGAGUCCGUUGCCCUACCGGAGAAGCAAGAAUCACCCAGGGUUUCCAUUUACCCGCAUCUCAUGUGAUUCACACGGUCGGGCCUAUAUAUGAUUCAGACAGUAACCCCAAAGAAUCCCUCUCCAAUGCGUACAAUCGAUACGGUUAUGACUAUUUGAUGAGACAUAAGUCUGAAACACUGAGAGUGGCCAAGGAGAACAACAUCAAGUACAUUGCAUUUCCUGCCAUAUCUUGUGGUGUUUUCGGGUACCCUUUCGAUGAAGCAGCUUCAGUAGCUAUCUCCACCGUUAAACGGUUCGCCAACGACCUGAAAGAGGUUCACUUUGUUCUUUUCUCGGAUGACACAUACAACGUGUGGAUAAACAAGGCAAAGGAGAUGCUACAACGUUAAGACUCUUCUGGGAGCUAAGUACAAGUAAUCUCAAGUCCAAACUCUACUUAGCUGCCUACGAAGUGAGAAAAAGGAAAACUUCAAAAGCUCUAUCCGCUUGGUGACAUUGGUGAGUAAUUACCCUUUGACAAAAGUGAGAGAAUCAGACACGAAUCGAGCAACUGGGCAAACGCGUAAAGGCCCAGGGACAAGCCAAGUGGACAUGUCUGAGCUGACGUGGCGCAAUAUCCUCUUAUAUCUCAGUUGCCACC